UAGGGAAUCUUCCACAAUGGACGCAAGUCUGAUGGAGCAACGCCGCGUGAGUGAAGAAGGUCUUCGGAUCGUAAAGCUCUGUUGUUGGUGAAGAAGGAUAGAGGCAGUAACUGGUCUUUAUUUGACGGUAAUCAACCAGAAAGUCACGGCUAACUACGUGCCAGCAGCCGCGGUAAUACGUAGGUGGCAAGCGUUGUCCGGAUUUAUUGGGCGUAAAGCGAGCGCAGGCGGAAUGAUAAGUCUGAUGUGAAAGCCCACGGCUCAACCGUGGAACUGCAUCGGAAACUGUCAUUCUUGAGUGCAGAAGAGGAGAGUGGAACUCCAUGUGUAGCGGUGGAAUGCGUAGAUAUAUGGAAGAACACCAGUGGCGAAGGCGGCUCUCUGGUCUGCAACUGACGCUGAGGCUCGAAAGCAUGGGUAGCGAACAGGAUUAGAU
RNAcentral lists this ribosomal RNA (436 nucleotides) under uncultured bacterium. Its description in RNAcentral is "partial 16S ribosomal RNA". It matches the Rfam family "Bacterial small subunit ribosomal RNA", at positions 355 to 783 of the family's 1533-position model. The record is from RNAcentral.